This is a long non-coding RNA of Cyprinus carpio carpio, 1461 nucleotides long. Lineage: Eukaryota; Metazoa; Chordata; Actinopteri; Cypriniformes; Cyprinidae. The record is from Ensembl.
UAAUUCAAAUUAUUUAUUUAUAGUAUAUAAAUAAAAUACUAAAACAAGCUGCAACGCCAAGGCAUUAGUACAACACAACGAAAACAAGACACGACACAAUUAAAUUAGCACAACACAACGAAAACAAGACACAACACAAAGGAAACAAAACAAGACAACACAACACAACGAAAACAAAACACAACACAAUUAAAUUAGCACAACACAAUGAAAACAAGACACAACACAAUUAAAUUAGCACAACACAGCAGAAACAAGACACAACACAAUUAAAUUAGCACAACACAACGAAAACAAGACACAACACAAUUAAAUUAGCACAACACAGCAGAAACAAGACACAACACAAUUAAAUUAGCACAACACAACGGAAACAAGACACAACACAAAGGAAACAAAACAAUACAACACAACAAAAAAAGACACAGCAAAUUCAAUUAGCACAACAAUGAAAACAAGAGAACACAAAUUAGCACAACACAACGAAAACAAGACACAACACAAUUAAAUUAGCACAACAGAAAGAAGACACAACACAAUGGAAACAAGACACAACACAAUUAAAUUAGCACAACAAUGAAAACAAGAGAACACAAAUUAGCACAACACAAUGAAAACAAGACACAACACAAAGGAAACAAAACAAUACAACACAACGAAAACAAGACACAGCACAAUUAAAUUAGCACAACACAACGAAAACAAGACACAACACAAUUAAAUUAGCACAACAAUGAAAACAAGACAACACAAUUAAAUUAGCACAACACAGUGGAAACUGUGACAAACACACAACGGAAACAAGACACAACACAACGAAAACAAGACACAACACAAUUAAAUAAGCACAACACAGCAGAAACAAGACACAACACAAUUAAAUUAGCACAACAGAAACAAGACACAACACAAUUAAAUAAGCACAACAGAAACAAGACACAAUACAAUUAAAUAAGCACAACACAAUGGAAACAAGACACAAUACAAUUAAAUAAGCACAACACAACGAAAACAAGACACAACACAAUUAAAUUAACACAACACAACGGAAACAAAACAACACAACAGAAACAAGACAACACAAUUCAAUUAGCACAACACAAUGGAAAAACAACACAAGACAACACAACGAAAACAAGACACAACACAAUUAAAUUAGCAUAACACAAUGAAAACAAGACAACACAAUAAAAUUAGCACAACGAAAACAAGACACAACACAAUUAAAUUAGCACAACACAAUGGAAACAAGCUGGAACACAGUGAAUUUAACACAACACAACUAAAUAAGUACUAUUGUGUUGUUGCAAUUUUGUUGUGUUAUGCACUACUGUGCCACUGUAGUUUAUUCAGUGCACAGUCAGUGAGUGAAACAGAGCAAAUGUAGUUAUGGUGUAAGUUAUAUGCUGUAUUUUGUGAAUCGAGACAGAGAUUUCUCUCUCGCUCUUUCUCUGUUUACAG